RNAcentral lists this long non-coding RNA (2874 nucleotides) under Mytilus galloprovincialis (Mediterranean mussel). Lineage: Eukaryota; Metazoa; Mollusca; Bivalvia; Mytilida; Mytilidae. The record is from RNAcentral.
UUAAACUGAAAAUUGGUGUGAAUAAAACAAGAGUACAGACAGAAAAAUAAGGUAUGUUGAUUUUGAUUUUGAAUUAGUUUUUGUGCAUUGUGAUAAAUAACAUGUCAUUGUAAGUGUAUACUGUUUAUACUUCAAAAUAUCUAUGCAAGUACUUAAAAAGAACAAUGUUUUUUCUUUAUACAACACAAACGACUCAAUAAAAUUUAUAGGUGAAGCACGUUCUAUAUUUGAUGGCAAAAUUUACACAAUUUCCAUAUGAACAAAGGGUUAUUUCAAUAAUAAACUUUAAGAAUUAUUCUUUUUUUAAAUAAUUUAUCUAAGGGAGUUUUUCAAAGGUUCUUACAAUACAACAAAAACUCGAAUUGAUAUAAUAUUAUUGUUUUUCGCACUGUGUUGAAGAUUAAAUUGUGGCCUUCAGCCGUUUUCUUCUCUUUCAUCAGCUUGUCGUCUCUUUGACACAUUCUUAAUUUCCAUUCUCAAUUUCUCAAUUUGUUUUUAAUAUCACUUAGUUCAUUCAGCAAAUUAAAUCAUUGAUGUACUAUUUAAACUAUAAAACAAAAUCAAAACAAAACAAAACAAAAAUUAAAACAAACAUACAUGUACUUUGAAAGACUGUUCCAGUUUUUACUUAAUUUCUACUUUAGGAAUAUUUGUGAUAAAAUACAUUAGAUAAUAAGAAUAUAAAAUAAUUAAGUGAUCUCUAUAAGAGAUGUAAUGAAGAUAAUAUUGUAUUUUUUUCAGUAUAUUUAAUGGAUCUAUAAUGUACACCUGUUAAGCAAAAGUAAAAGGUAUUAAACUGAAAUAUGGUGUGAAUAAAACAAGAGUACAGAGAUAAAAAGGUAUGUUGAAUUGGAUUUCAAAUUUAAAUUAGUGUUUGAUCAUUGUGUUGAAAACAUAACAUUCCCCUUGUGUACCGUCUAUACUUCAAAAUAACUAUACAAGUACUUGAAAAGAACUUUUUUCUUCUUUAUUCAACACAUACGACUCUAGACAUUUAUAGGUGAAACACUUUAUAAAUUUAAUGUUAAGUUACACCAUUUCCACAUGAACCAAGGGUUAUUCUAAUCAUAUAUUAUAAGAAUUAUUUUUAAAAAAAAUAGUAAUGAUCUAAGGGAGGUAAUCAGUAAAUAAAAUUGAUCAGACCUCUAGUGUGUGUUUUUAUUCAAAGGUUCUUACAAUACAACAAAAACUCGAAUUAAUAUAAUAAUAUUGUUUUUCUCACUGUGUUGAAGACCCAUUAGUGACCUUCGGCUUUUUUCUUCUCUUUGGUCAGGUUGUCGUCUCUUUGACACAUUCCAUUAUAUCACUUUUUGAAUAAGAAAAAAAAUAUUGAUGUAGUAUUUAAACAAUAAAACAAAAAACAAAAAAAUAUAUAAGCAAACAUACAGGUACUUUGAAAGGGUGUUCUAGUUUUUACUUAAUUUCUACUUAAGGUAUAUUUGUGAUGAUACAGAUCAAAUAAUUAGAAUAUAAAAUAGUUAAGAUAAGCGAUGUUAUGAAGAUAAUAUUGUAUUGUUUUUUUGUUCAUUACAUUUAAGGGAUCUAUCAUGAACAUGAUGUAUACCUGUUAAACAAAAGUGAUAUUUUUAAACUGAAAAUUGGCGUGUGUAAGACAAGAGUACAGACAGAAAAUUAAGGUAUGUUGAAUUUAAUUUUAAAUUUAAAUUUGUUUUUGUCAAUUAUGAUAAAUUACUUGUCAUUGCCAAUGUACACUGUCUAUAUUUCAAAAUUACUAUACAAAUACUUGAAAAGAACAAUGUCUUUCUUUACACAACAUACACACGACUAUAGACAUGUAUAGGUGAAGCAUUUUCUAUAUCAAAUGGCAUAAAAUACACAAUUUCCACAUGAACAAAGGGUUAUUUCAACAAUACACUAUUAUAUCUUUUUUUUAUAAAUAAUAAUGAUCUACGGGCGUUAAUAAGUAAAUAAAAUUGGUCAGACCUCUAGUAUGUUUUUUUAUCAAAGGUUCUUACAUUACAACAAAAACUCGAAUUGACAUAAUGAUAAUUGUUGAUUAAGAAAAAAAAAUCAUUGAUGCACUAUUUAAAUAAUCAGAAAAAAAUCAAAAACAAAUCAAAAACAAACAUACAGGUUCUGUGAAAUAGUGUUCAAGUUUUAAAUAAUAAGAAAAAAUCACAAACAAAUCAAAAACAAACAUACAGGUUCUGUGAAAUAGUGUUCAAUUUUUUACUUAUUAAAACACCUCUGUUUAUACGAUUUUGAAAAUGGUUGAGCAUAAACAGGCGUUUUUGCAGUUUUUUCGCAAGGUGGAUCUACAUUCUCAGGAUCAAACAUUGCAAAUUGUACCACCUUGAUAUUUAUUAAAGAUGAAUUGAUCAAUUACGCCAUUGUUACUACGUUUUAUAAAAAAAAAUAUAUUAUAUACUUAGUAGAAAUAAAUGUUAAAAUAAUAAUGAUAUAAGGGAGAUAAUCAUUAAUAAAAUUGAUGAGAAAAAGUCUGGAAUCUCUCAAAUGUUAUUUUGUUUGUCCAAUUUCUUUGUAUAAAAAGUUUUAUAUUUUUGUAUGAGGAAAUCUGAAUAAUCAUAUUCUGUUGGUUCAAAUAAAACAUUUUAAGUACAUGUUAUAAAAAUAAACAAACACUUUUGACUUUUUUCAAAGAAAAUCAAUAAUAGUAAUUGAGAAAUUCCUAAUGUAGUAAUAUUUGUAAUGUAAUAUAUUAGAUAAUAAGCAUAUAAAAUAAUUAAGUGAUCUCUAUAAGAGUUGUUAUGGAGAUAAUAUUGUAUUGUUGUUUUUUUUUUUCAGAACAUUUUAUGGAUGUAUCAUUUAUACCUAUUAAGCAAAAGUAAUACAUUUAUGUAUCAAACUGAAAAUCGGUGUGAAUAAAACAAGAGUACAGAGAGAAAAAAGAGG